RNAcentral lists this ribosomal RNA (50 nucleotides) under Battarrea stevenii. RNAcentral's name for it is "partial 28S ribosomal RNA". Lineage: Eukaryota; Fungi; Basidiomycota; Agaricomycetes; Agaricales; Agaricaceae. The record is from RNAcentral.
CAAAUCAGGUAGGACUACCCGCUGAACUUAAGCAUAUCAAUAANCGGAAG